CACUCAUGUGUUUUUGGUUGUGUUGGCACACGUUUUUUCUGUUCGUUGGAUUGACAUCGUGUGUGUAUUCUUGCCACCGCCGUUUCUUUCUCUGAUCUAUAGGGCCCACUUUUUUGGGUACGGUUAAAAAAUUGGGAACCGCUCCUCUCCAUUUCUUAGUGUUUCAUUUCGUCUUCCUCCCCCUCGACGCUUUUCCCCAUGACGCGCACCCAAGGCGAUUUUGUCGGUGCGGCGACGAUUUGGUCCAGCGAACUCGCGCUCCUCGAUGCAGAGUGCUGCCGAAGAUAGUGAUGGCAGUUGGAGGGUUUAGCUCAUCAUUCCUUCCUGGAGGGUUCUAGAUUGCUCUGAAGGCAAUGGUUCCUCGGUUAGCAUUGGUGGUUUAUAUUUUUUAUGGCGGUUUCUAUUUUAUGCAACUCGAUUUUUCUUACUUGCAUAAUGCUAGGUGAAGCAUCUGUCUUUGCAUAUUGUGUGGUUUCUGUUUGGUUACUAAAUGUAGAGCAAACAAUGGUUGUUGUUGAUGCCCACUUAGUAUAAAUGAAGUGAUUAGAAACUAUGGAAUUCUAUUUUCUUGUUUGUUGAAUCGAGUUUGAUCAUGCAUUGGAUAGGAAGUGCAAGGGAUCUGAACUUGUGUGACUCUGCAUCCUUUUGUCAGAUAUGUAUGGUUGAAGUAUCAAGUUGUUUCAAGUUGAUAACCAUUUCAGUUACAUAAGCUUCAGAAUUUGCAUGUAUGGUUCAGGAGUUCAGUUUAUUAUAAAGUUGUUCUAUUUUUUUAAUAAUUUGCCUUGCUUUGAUCUGCUUCAGUUAGAGCAAUCCACUUAAUUUAAUUUUAGCAAAAGGUUGCCAGCAUUGCCAUGCUUGAGUUUUUGGUCUCUACUUGCCUUUCGCUUUUGGUCCCCCAUCCACAUUCGCUUAAUUGGUAAUCAAAAUUUAGAUCUCCAGUCUUUGCUUUAGAGUUUUUGGUCUGCAACUUGUGAUUUUUCUACUAGUUAUUUUUUAUUACGUUCAUAGCUGGUGUGAGCACAUUGUUUAGCUGACGCUCAUCAGACCUCUAGGUUCCUGGCUUGUGCCGAGAUAAAUUUGUUUGACUGUUGUUCAUCAGACAUCCAGUUUCCUAGACAGAGGAAAAAUUUGUUUUGCUGGUGUUCUAUGAGACCUCCAGAUUCUAGACUAUCUACAAUUUUUUCUGUGAAGCCAACACAAGUUGCUUAGGACUCAAUGAAUCUCAGUAUCUGGAGAAUGUAUAUGUCGAUCUCCACAUCAAAGGAAGUGAAAGAUUCAAUUGCUCACUUGGGCUAUAUGUGGAUUUGUAGACCAACCCACCUGCAUAGAUGAGUCUUCUCUGUAGUAGUACAGGGGAUUGGUUUAUAUGUAACUAAUCUAUUGAAGUGAACUAAGUGUUCAGGAAUAUAUAUUACCUUGGAAUUGAUACACUACUAGCAAAAUCAGACGUCUUAGAUGACUUGGCCACUUUCGCCCAAACUGUAAAACUGAAUUUGCAAACCCCAUUUUUUCCUGGCAAUCUUCCUGAGCAUUAAUUUGUUCUUAGAAAAACUAUUCAAUUCCAUUUAAAUUUUUGAUGGCAUGUGUUCAUCGUACUAUGCUAUAAUGUUCCCUGCUGCUUGCUCUAUUGCAUUGCUCUCUGAACAAAUUACAUAUACAGGAACUUGUGUUAAUACUAUGAACAAGAGCCAUUCAGUUCUGUCAGUAACAGAAAGUUAAAACAACAAGUCGACGUCUUCUCUACCAGUUCGCUCAGUUCCACGAGAAGCAUCAAUUCGUCAUCUUAGGGAUGAAUUUGGAUGAAGUUUCUUAUUUACCACUCGGUUUAACAUGUCUGUGUGGUAUGUAAUAUGUAGUAAUGUACAUUGGAUUUUUGGAGGGGGUCUGGGAACAUAGGCUUCUAAAGUGUCAUUUCUUUUGUCAGAGAUGCUCAGUGUGUGUUACUCUGUCCAAAAAGUAUUUGCUUCAAUUGUGUUUCUUAGUUAAUUUUGGUCCCCUGUUUUAGAUUUCGAUCUGCUGUGUUGGCUUCUAUUCCCAUCAGUUUAUUUGAUCUGUUAGGACGUACAAUACGAUAGACUCUUAGAAGAUAGGGAAUUAGUGCUGAGUUUAACCUACAAUGCAAACUCUUGUUUCAUAACCUCGUGUUGGGAAUUAGCAUUGAGUUUAUUUGAUCUGUGAACCUCGUGGUGUUUAUUUGGGUGCUAGUUUUUCAAUUGUCAUACUGCAAAUGAAUGGAAAGCUAUAAAUCACUAUAGAAGGGGGGUGUUUAUCCUAUUUGUCAUGGAGUUUUAAACAUGUGGAAGGCAGGGUGGGUUAUUGGUUUAGUUUGCUCAUGCUUCACUAUAAGAAAUCCUCCAUAGGUAAAGUUGAGGAGUCAUCUUACUGAUCCAACAUUUUUGAAUCAUGAGCAGGCCUAUCAUCCAGUAUUUAUAUGUUUUCAUGUCUUUUUGAAGCGCCUAUUGCACCUAUAUAAAUUUUCUACUGUAAUUUAACUAGAAUUCUCUAUGGUGUUGUAUCUGUUUUAUUAACUAAAUACAGAGCAAAUAAUGCUUGUCGUUUAUGCCACCUUAGUAUAAAUCAAGUGCUAGUGUUCUGUUCUUCGUAUAUGUUUGCUAGAUUUUUUAUGGGCAGCUUUAUUCAUUCAAGAGGAAACAAAAAAUUCUAGAAAAUAGACAAGUGUCAGGCACCUAAAAGGUCUUGAGAUAUUGUGUAUUUGUGCUGACAGUCACACUGAAUUUUGUUACUUUGUAUAUGUCUGCAACCUAAAACCUAUCAUUCAUUUUAUUGCUUUAGUUAAUUGGCUGAAUCUCUAUUUUAUGACUGAAACUCUGUUUCUAACUGAAAUCAUGUGUUUUUAAUUGAAAAUUAUAUGCUAACUAGUGUUUUUCUAUGUAACCAUGAAGGAUAAAGACUUCUGUUCUCAUGAUAAAUCUAUCGAUGGGGAGAAUGAUGAUGAUUUUGAUAUGAACUCUAAAGAAAACAUAGCUUCUUUGGAUCCACAUUUGUCAGAGGAUGAGGUUGAUGAAGCUGAACUAGUGAAGACUUGCAAGCAUUUUCAUAUAGGUGCCAGCUACUAUAAGGUUUGCAUUAGACAGAGAAAUGACACCCUAUUUACUUGUGAAGGAUCUGAUUAUGCAAGUAAGCUUACACGUGUGUUUGGCACCAUGAAUUGUAGUGGUUGUCCUGCUCUCCACCAUUGCAGUAGGGGAAGAAGCAUGGAAGGAAAUAUAAAGUAAAUGGUGAUCUAGCAGCAUGUUGGGGCCAUUUGGAGGUCUGCAAGUACUAGGUUGAGGAACUAGGGUGUGAUCCAAAUAUGGCUGCAAGUGGAGGCUCAUGUGAAGGUUCUUUUUAGUUCCUUUAUGCUUCUGAAAAUUGUAUGCUUCCAUAUGUGUAAAUUGUCCUUCCUUAUAAAAAUUGUUCCUUGUCUUUUUGUUAUUGUGCUGGUCCUCCCCCCUCUCUGUGAUUGUGUUAGGAUGAAGAUUUUUUUUUAAAUUGUCCUUCCUUAGAAAAAAAAUUGUCCCUUGUCAUUUGUGAUUGUGCUGAUCCUCCCCCCUCUUUUUAUGAUUGUGUUAGGAUGAACAAACAAAAUUUGUAAAUUAUCCUUCCUUAGAAAACAUAUUGUCCCUUGUAUUUUGUGUUUGUGCUGGUCCUUCCCCCUCUCUUUGUGAUUAUUUUAGGAUGAAGAAAAAAAUAUAAUUUUUCCUUCCUUAGUAAAAAAUUGUCCCUUGUCUUUUGUGAUUUUGUUGGUCCUCCUAAUUGUGCUAGUAUGAAUAAAUUGUUUUUGUAAAUUGUUCUUCCAUAGAAAAAAUUGUCUCUUGUAAUCUUGUUUUUGUGCUUGUGUUGUGUUAAGACAUAUCCUUAAAUUUGUUAACUAUGAUUUGUAUCAAGAAUAUAAUGCUAGUUAUAUUAUACCAGUGAGCAAUCAAAAACUGAAUUGUGUUCCAGUUUUUAUUGUCAGACUGACCCUCGACAUUGGUAUGGUCUAACCUGCACUUCUACUAGAUGCACUGCCAGUGUUGGAUAUGGGAGAAGGGAAGGAUGUCAAUUUCGAUGAGCAUUGUUGUAGAUCGAAGUUGCACAAGUAAUGUUUCAAGUUCCUUGGCCCUCUAAGUUCCACUGUCUGUUGCACAAGUAAUGUUUCAAGUUCCUUGGCCCUAUAAGUUCCACUGUCUGUUCCUCCUCAGAUUCAAAGUUUACAAACAUUCAAUCAAUUGGCAUCUUUUUGUGAUUUGUGCUAGCACACAACAACCUACACAUUUAUUAUCUAUUUCUAGAUUGACUGAAACUUUGAAUCAUACUAGUUAGUAUCUAUUUC
This is a long non-coding RNA of Sorghum bicolor (sorghum), 4315 nucleotides long. RefSeq lists it as uncharacterized. The record is from RefSeq and is a predicted model, not a curated record. The transcript has 5 exons. Lineage: Eukaryota; Viridiplantae; Streptophyta; Magnoliopsida; Poales; Poaceae.